GAUGAACGCUGGCGGCGUGCCUAAUACAUGCAAGUCGAGCGAACGGACGAGAAGCUUUCUUCUCUGAUGUUAGCGGCGGACGGGUGAGUAACACGUGGAUAACCUACCUAUAAGACUGGGAUAACUUCGGGGAACCGGAGCUAAUACCGGAUAAUCUUUUGAACCGCAUGGUUCAAAAGUGAAAGACGGUCUUGCUGUCACUUAUAGAUGGAUCCGCGCUGCAUUAGCUAGUUGGUAAGGUAGCGGCUUACCAAGGCAACGAUGCAUAGCCGACCUGAGAGGGUGAUCGGCCAAACUGGAACUGAGACACGGUCCAGACUCCUACGGGAGGCAGCAGUAGGGAAUCUUCCGCAAAGGGCGAAAGCCUGACGGAGCAACGCCGCGUGAGUGAUGAAGGUCUUCGGAUCGUAAAACUCUGUUAUUAGGGAAGAACAGAUGUGUAAGUAACUGUGCACAUCUUGACGGUACCUAAUCAGAAAGCCACGGCUAACUACGUG
Molecule: ribosomal RNA, 497 nt
Filed under: uncultured bacterium
Lineage: Bacteria
Description: partial 16S ribosomal RNA
Rfam family: Bacterial small subunit ribosomal RNA
Source: RNAcentral